UACGUAGGGUCCGAGCGUUGUCCGGAAUUAUUGGGCGUAAAGAGCUCGUAGGCGGUUUGUCGCGUCUGCUGUGAAAUCCCGAGGCUCAACCUCGGGCCUGCAGUGGGUACGGGCAGACUGGAGUGCGGUAGGGGAGAAUGGAAUUCCUGGUGUAGCGGUGGAAUGCGCAGAUAUCAGGAGGAACACCCGUGGCUAAGGCGGCUCUCUAGUACGGUACUGACGCUGAGACGCGAAAGCGUGGGGAGCGAACAGG
Molecule: ribosomal RNA, 253 nt
Filed under: uncultured bacterium
Lineage: Bacteria
Description: partial 16S ribosomal RNA
Rfam family: Bacterial small subunit ribosomal RNA
Source: RNAcentral